Non-coding RNA from Termitomyces sp. T159_Od127, 87 nucleotides. The record is from the annotation of a GenBank genome assembly. Lineage: Eukaryota; Fungi; Basidiomycota; Agaricomycetes; Agaricales; Lyophyllaceae.
GCAUCAAUAGUGUAGCGGUUAACAUUGGAUCUUCCCAUUCUCUACGAGUGUUAGGUCUAGCCCCGGGUUCGACUCCCGGUUGAUGCA